UACGUAGGGUGCGAGCGUUAAUCGGAAUUACUGGGCGUAAAGCGUGCGCAGGCGGCUUUGCAAGACAGAUGUGAAAUCCCCGGGCUCAACCUGGGAACUGCAUUUGUGACUGCAAGGCUAGAGUACGGCAGAGGGGGAUGGAAUUCCGCGUGUAGCAGUGAAAUGCGUAGAUAUGCGGAGGAACACCAAUGGCGAAGGCAAUCCCCUGGGCCUGUACUGACGCUCAUGCACGAAAGCGUGGGGAGCAAACAAG
RNAcentral lists this ribosomal RNA (253 nucleotides) under uncultured bacterium. RNAcentral's name for it is "partial 16S ribosomal RNA". It matches the Rfam family "Bacterial small subunit ribosomal RNA", at positions 524 to 776 of the family's 1533-position model. The record is from RNAcentral.